Molecule: ribosomal RNA, 404 nt
Filed under: uncultured Gillisia sp.
Lineage: Bacteria; Pseudomonadati; Bacteroidota; Flavobacteriia; Flavobacteriales; Flavobacteriaceae
Description: bacterial SSU rRNA
Rfam family: Bacterial small subunit ribosomal RNA
Source: RNAcentral
AGGAAGACGGCCCUAUGGGUUGUAAACUGCUUUUAUAGGUAAAGAAACACUCCCUCGUGAGGGAGCUUGACGGUACUGUAAGAAUAAGGAUCGGCUAACUCCGUGCCAGCAGCCGCGGUAAUACGGAGGAUCCAAGCGUUAUCCGGAAUCAUUGGGUUUAAAGGGUCCGUAGGCGGGAUAAUAAGUCAGCGGUGAAAGUCUGUGGCUCAACCAUAGAAUUGCCAUUGAUACUGUUGUUCUUGAGUGUUUAUGAAGUGGUUAGAAUAUGUAGUGUAGCGGUGAAAUGCUUAGAUAUUACAUGGAAUACCGAUUGCGAAGGCAGAUCACUAAUAAAAUACUGACGCUGAUGGACGAAAGCGUAGGUAGCGAACAGGAUUAGAUACCCUGGUAGUCUACGCCGUAAA